This 253-nucleotide ribosomal RNA is filed under the name uncultured prokaryote. RNAcentral describes it as "partial 16S ribosomal RNA". It matches the Rfam family "Bacterial small subunit ribosomal RNA", at positions 525 to 777 of the family's 1533-position model. The record is from RNAcentral.
ACGUAGGUGGCAAGCGUUGUCCGGAUUUAUUGGGUUUAAAGGGUGCGUAGGCGGUCUUUUAAGUCAGUGCUGAAAUACUCCAGCUUAACUGGAGGGGUGGCAUUGAUACUGGGAGACUUGAGUGUAGUCGAGGUAGGCGGAAUUGACGGUGUAGCGGUGAAAUGCUUAGAUAUCGUCAAGAACACCGAUAGUGAAGACAGCUUACUAGGCUACAACUGACGCUGAGGCACGAAAGUGUGGGGAUCAAACAGGA